This 253-nucleotide ribosomal RNA is filed under the name uncultured bacterium. RNAcentral describes it as "partial 16S ribosomal RNA". It matches the Rfam family "Bacterial small subunit ribosomal RNA", at positions 524 to 776 of the family's 1533-position model. The record is from RNAcentral.
GACGAGGGGUCCUAGCGUUGUUCGGAAUCAUUGGGCGUAAAGCGUGUGUAGGCCGCCAUGAAAGUCAGUUGUGAAAGCCCCGGGCUCAACCCGGGAAGUGCUUCUGAUACUGCAUGGCUUGAGUACUGGAGAGGGUAGUGGAAUUCCAGGUGUAGUGGUGAAAUACGUAGAUAUCUGGAGGAACACCGGUGGCGAAGGCGGCUACCUGGCCAUGUACUGACGCUGAGACACGAAAGCGUGGGGAGCAAACAGG